RNAcentral lists this ribosomal RNA (837 nucleotides) under Lactococcus lactis. RNAcentral's name for it is "bacterial SSU rRNA". It matches the Rfam family "Bacterial small subunit ribosomal RNA", at positions 111 to 936 of the family's 1533-position model. Lineage: Bacteria; Bacillati; Bacillota; Bacilli; Lactobacillales; Streptococcaceae. The record is from RNAcentral.
UAACGCGUGGGGAAUCUGCCUUUGAGCGGGGGACAACAUUUGGAAACGAAUGCUAAUACCGCAUAAAAACUUUAAACACAAGUUUUAAGUUUGAAAGAUGCAAUUGCAUCACUCAAAGAUGAUCCCGCGUUGUAUUAGCUAGUUGGUGAGGUAAAGGCUCACCAAGGCGAUGAUACAUAGCCGACCUGAGAGGGUGAUCGGCCACAUUGGGACUGAGACACGGCCCAAACUCCUACGGGAGGCAGCAGUAGGGAAUCUUCGGCAAUGGACGAAAGUCUGACCGAGCAACGCCGCGUGAGUGAAGAAGGUUUUCGGAUCGUAAAACUCUGUUGGUAGAGAAGAACGUUGGUGAGAGUGGAAAGCUCAUCAAGUGACGGUAACUACCCAGAAAGGGACGGCUAACUACGUGCCAGCAGCCGCGGUAAUACGUAGGUCCCGAGCGUUGUCCGGAUUUAUUGGGCGUAAAGCGAGCGCAGGUGGUUUAUUAAGUCUGGUGUAAAAGGCAGUGGCUCAACCAUUGUAUGCAUUGGAAACUGGUAGACUUGAGUGCAGGAGAGGAGAGUGGAAUUCCAUGUGUAGCGGUGAAAUGCGUAGAUAUAUGGAGGAACACCGGUGGCGAAAGCGGCUCUCUGGCCUGUAACUGACACUGAGGCUCGAAAGCGUGGGGAGCAAACAGGAUUAGAUACCCUGGUAGUCCACGCCGUAAACGAUGAGUGCUAGAUGUAGGGAGCUAUAAGUUCUCUGUAUCGCAGCUAACGCAAUAAGCACUCCGCCUGGGGAGUACGACCGCAAGGUUGAAACUCAAAGGAAUUGACGGGGGCCCGCACAAGCGGUGGA